GAUGAACGCUGGCGGCGUGCCUAAUACAUGCAAGUCGAGCGAACAGAUAAGGAGCUUGCUCCUUUGACGUUAGCGGCGGACGGGUGAGUUACACGUGGAUAACCUACCUAUAAGACUGGGAUAACUUCGGGAAACCGGAGCUAAUACCGGAUAACAUAUUGAACCGCAUGGUUCAAUAGUGAAAGGCGGCUUUGCUGUCACUUAUAGAUGGAUCCGCGCCGUAUUAGCUAGUUGGUAAGGUAACGGCUUACCAAGGCAACGAUACGUAGCCGACCUGAGAGGGUGAUCGGCCACACUGGAACUGAGACACGGUCCAGACUCCUACGGGAGGCAGCAGUAGGGAAUCUUCCGCAAUGGGCGAAAGCCUGACGGAGCAACGCCGCGUGAGUGAUGAAGGUCUUCGGAUCGUAAAACUCUGUUAUCAGGGAAGAACAAAUGUGUAAGUAACUGUGCACAUCUUGACGGUACAUGAUCAGAAAGCCACGGCUAACUACGUG
Molecule: ribosomal RNA, 497 nt
Filed under: uncultured bacterium
Lineage: Bacteria
Description: partial 16S ribosomal RNA
Rfam family: Bacterial small subunit ribosomal RNA
Source: RNAcentral